RNAcentral lists this small RNA (261 nucleotides) under Pan troglodytes (chimpanzee). RNAcentral's name for it is "processed transcript". The record is from RNAcentral. Lineage: Eukaryota; Metazoa; Chordata; Mammalia; Primates; Hominidae.
GCCGCACGGUCUCUAGCCCGCAGGGCUCUCAGAGUCGCAGGCGGUGACGCCCGGUCGGGGGGCCCGGUCGCAAGGGACACACAGCUGGGGGCGCGAUGUCACCCGCAUUGACGUUCCCUAGGCGCUGGAUCGCCGAAGGUCUGGUUGAGAACUUGAACCCGCCUGGAGCGGAUGCCUAAGAAAAUGCGGGCCCGCUGAAGCCUCCCCGCCGGGCCCUGGGCCCUGAAAGCCUCCGGCAGUUUCCCGUGACCCCGCGGCCGC